GAGUCAAAAUUGAACCAUGAAGACGGUUGGGUGGUACAGACACUUCAAACCACCUUCGUUUGCCAUCAAUGAUUGAGAAAGAAAUUUUUUCUUCGAGUUUAGAUCUCUUGGCCACCAACGGCGAUUAGGGUUUCGUGAACUGGUCAGUGAGCAUUUCCUGCAAAACAGUGAAGGAGCAAAUUGGAUGUGAGGACCGAGUUUGAGUCGCAGAAGCUUAAAGCUCUAUUCCUGAUCAAGGAGUCAAUCUGGCGGAUAAUUAGAUCCGCCAAUCUGAAGGUGUUUCUGUGAAGGCGGUGAUUUCUUUCCGUCCACACAAAGUAGAUCGUGGCUUGCCAAGCGAUAAGGAGCAACGUCUUGCUACUCGAGUUCCCCUGUGGUCGAUAAGGUUCUGCAUGGUCCCGUUCCACGAUCGUGCAGCAGUGAAAGAGCAGCGGCGAGCAGUGGUGUGCCAGAUGGUCCAAGUGAAAGGGCAGUUGAAGAAAAGAUGGUCUCGACUUUCAUCUUCUCCAUUGUAAGCAAACUGGGUUGACUUGUAAUCCCCAUUCUCUUAACCUGUCUCGAGUGGGGCUGCGAUUCAACAGAAAAAGCCAUGUAAGAAAGUUAUGCUUUGGGAUCCCUCUUGAGUACCAGACUAUCUUAUGCCAUGGGACCGUAGAUAUAAUUGUCGGGGACAUCUGUGAGUUGGAUAGUGGAUAGCUCAAUGUGGUAAUUAACUUGCGCUUCAGAGCGUGCAGGAGACAAUCUCCAAGCGCCUCGAUACCAUAGAUCUGCCAGUGUGGCUCCUCUGGGAAUCCCUAGUAAGCCCUCUCGACGGAGACCUCUUCUCUAGUUUUCAGGAGCUUAUUUGCAAGCCAGGAAUACUUGGUGUUUGGCUUUCGGGUCCAAAAGUUGAUGAGGUUUCCGGAUAGGACAAAUCCUCUAAACCAAGCUACCUAGAUAGAUCCUAAACGAAAAAAUAGCAGCCAGAUAAGUUUGAUCAUGCAUGCCUUAUUCCAGCUUUUCAAGUCCCGUAUUCCUAACCCUCCUUCAGUUUUCGCAGAUGUUACCUUAUCCCAAGCUACCUGUGCUGAGUGAUGGCCCUCUGUUGUUCCUUUCUACAAGAACGCACCAGACAGUGAGUUCAAGAUGCUUAUACACCUCUUUGGCAAUACAAACGCUGAACACCAGAAGUUAGUGAUUCCAUUGAUUAUUGUGUUUAACAAUUGAAGUCUGCCUGCGAAAGAGAGGGAUUUAGUAGACCACGCGUUAAAUCUGCUUUUCACCUUUUGUAUGAGUGGAGCACAAUCUAGAAGAGUAAGCUUCUUAGUGAAUAGAGCUUGGUCCAGCAUUAUUGAAAGACAGUUCAUAGCAAUGACGAAGAGGUAGGGUGAGAGCGGGCAGCCUUGCCUCAGUCCCCUGGUGCUUUGAAAUACCCAUGCACGUUGCUAUUGAAGCCCACUGAGAAAGAAGGGGUGCAGAUGCAAGCUUGCAACCAGCGAAUAUAGAGUUCUGGGACCUCAAUGCCUUGCAGACAGCUGAAGAUAAAAUCCCAUCGAAUUGUGUCAAAAGCUUUUGCUAUGUCAAUCUUGAUGACUAAUUCCUUUGGAUCAAAUCAUGGAGAGCUGGCUUAAGUCGAGAGACAAGCAACUUGGAGAUGACCUUAUACAAGGUAUUAAGGCAUAAAAGUUCUAUUGUUGUUGUUUAGUUAUGCAUAGAAGAAAGUCUCAUGAUUAUAACUUGGUGAAAGGGUGCAUGUGAUAAAAAAAAUCACUAGUGGUUAAUGAGUUCUCUACUAAGUGAACCAAAAGCUUAGAGCAUAUAUAUUGGUAAGGUCAUGUGCAUUAGUUAGUCUUUCAUCAAGUUUCUCACUAACAAAAUAACUAAUAAAAUAUGAAAUAAUAACUUUUUAUUAUAAAAGUUUCUCAAAACAAAGAAAAAAGUUAUUCAAGGAUUCUCAAAUGAGAAUCGUUCUCAUUUUUAACAAGAAAUUCUCAUAAUAAAAAAUUAUUAUACUAUAUUUUAUUAUUUCUUAUUUAAACGAGAGACUUUGGUGAUAGAACUCCAAUGCUCUUUCUCUAAAUAUUAAGUAAGUUUCACAAAAUAUUUUAUUUUAAUAUAAAAUUAUUAUUUAGUUAAAUUACAAAUCAGAAAAAAUAAAAUAUAACCAGUUAAAAUUAGACAUGUGUCUAGAAUAGUCUCACCUUCUUUCAUACUUUUUGUUACUUUUUAUUUUUUAAUUGGUGAAAAACUCUCAAUAGUCAAUACACA
Non-coding RNA from Camelina sativa (false flax), 2247 nucleotides. The record is from RefSeq and is a predicted model, not a curated record. Lineage: Eukaryota; Viridiplantae; Streptophyta; Magnoliopsida; Brassicales; Brassicaceae.